GUUUCCUGGUGCGGGGCAGUUCCUGGGGCUUUGUCCAAAUCCUCCAGUCAAACCCUGGGAGUUUGGGCUCUGGUUUGCUCAGAUGGGAGCUCCAGCGUGGAAAUGGAGCCUCGGAGCGGCAGCGUGCUCGGCGCUGGAGUUCGAUGCUGUAUUUAACCCCUGCUGAGGAGAAGCCUUUGAACAGGGAACCUCUUUUGACCUUUGGUUGUGCCUCUAACGCUUUAUUCUCCAGCCAGUGAUGAAUAAAAGUCCUGGAAAGUCCUCAAAGCCUCGAAGCAAGCAGCUUUCAACCAGCUCUCCCAGUGGGCUUGCAGUAAAGUGCUCAGGAGGGACACCUGAAAUUCUGCCUGGAAAACCAACAGCAGAGGCACACGAAGCACCAGAAUCAGAGAGAUGAUCUAUGGUGGAAGGAGAGAGAUGUCGAUCCGCUCCCACGUGCUGCGACCUGGGUGGUUUUCAGUGUUCAGAAAGGGUCCUCAGAUGUGCUGGCCCAGAGCAGGGUGGACACCGACUACAUCCCGACUCACCCUCGCUUGCCGGCAGCUUGAAAACAAGGGUGACUCCAGUAAUAAAAUGCUGUGCAGUGACAACCAGCAGCGGGAGAGACGCCGGCAGGAGGUCACCUGUGUUCCCAGCUCCUUUCCCCAGCUCUGCUCAGUGAUCCCAGGCAGAGUGUGACACCACCUGCUAACACAGCGCUCAAGAUGACUGAUCCGAGUAGAAGUGACAGCUCCUGGCAACACAUCACAAGCCUGAAAAUUCAAACCAGGCUCUCCAAAAUGUUGAGCUGAGAGUCAGCGAGGUGGAUUCUGGCUGCUGCCCCCUGUGACGGGCUCCUGAGGUACGUGUGGGACACGGAGAGGGGACAUGAGUGAUGGGACAGGUGGCUGGGAGUGUUGUGUCUGCACAAGGGCUUCCGAUGGCCCCAUUAGAAAGAACACGGAGCACUGGGACCCUGGUUGUUUUUUCUUUCUCAGCCAGCACUUAAAUGCCAACACAAUAAGAAACACAAUGCAUUAUUUAAAAGCCACUGUGCUUGACCCUACAAGGAGCUUUUCAAUCGCCUGAAUGUCAAGGAGAAAGAUGUUGCUGUUUCACUGGUGGCCAGUGGGUUAAACUCCUCCUCGUUGACAAUGUGACCGGGGUGAGAUGGUGCUGAGGUGAACGUGUGUGUGGGUGCACGAGGGGCUGCGUGUGAACCCCGUGGAGUCACCCCAUGGAGCAACCCCUGGAGCUGUCGCUCUGGGCUGGGAAAGCCAAGGGAAAGGAAGGAAAACCAGUUUAAGAGCAGUAGCUCUUAGAAGAAGCCGUUCAGACCUAUCAAGCUGCUCCUCAGCUGUAUUUCACCUGCUGCCCCCGCAGCCUUUUCUUGGGGCAAAGCAGGUUUGGCCACGGGCUUUUUAUUGCUUGUUUAUCAAGCUGCAGACCCUUCUUGUGCACUAACUUCUGUUAGCAAAUUGUUUCCAACCUCCUGUCCCGUUCUCUGCCUUCAGAAGAGACUUUUUCCUUCGCACAAACUUGCAGUGAAACCCCUUGCAAGGCUGCAAAGUCAUUAGCUGCGAGUCACUGUUGGAAUGAGGUUGUGAGCAGUAGCAGAAGUCAGAAACUGGGAUCUCUCUGUAAGCAAAAAUCCUCAAUCACUGUAUAACAAUCAGUGGUGUAUCUCUAUAUCUAGCAAAUGUUGUUUUGGAGAUGAGAAAAGGUCACCAGUCGCAGUGUGGCAUUUCACCCUCUGACCUCAUUAGAGGUUUUUCCUGAGUAAAUCACUAGUUUUAUUUGUU
This is a long non-coding RNA of Columba livia (rock pigeon), 1781 nucleotides long. RefSeq lists it as uncharacterized. Lineage: Eukaryota; Metazoa; Chordata; Aves; Columbiformes; Columbidae. The record is from RefSeq and is a predicted model, not a curated record. The transcript has 2 exons.